This 1394-nucleotide ribosomal RNA is filed under the name bacterium enrichment culture clone DS-2. RNAcentral's name for it is "16S ribosomal RNA". It matches the Rfam family "Bacterial small subunit ribosomal RNA". The record is from RNAcentral.
AGCUUGCUGGGUGGAUUAGUGGCGAACGGGUGAGUAACACGUGAGUAACCUGCCCUUGACUCUGGGAUAAGCCUGGGAAACUGGGUCUAAUACCGGAUAGGAACGUCCACCGCAUGGUGGGUGUUGGAAAGAUUUAUCGGUCAUGGAUGGACUCGCGGCCUAUCAGCUUGUUGGUGAGGUAAUGGCUCACCAAGGCGACGACGGGUAGCCGGCCUGAGAGGGUGACCGGCCACACUGGGACUGAGACACGGCCCAGACUCCUACGGGAGGCAGCAGUGGGGAAUAUUGCACAAUGGGCGAAAGCCUGAUGCAGCGACGCCGCGUGAGGGAUGACGGCCUUCGGGUUGUAAACCUCUUUCAGUAGGGAAGAAGCGAAAGUGACGGUACCUGCAGAAGAAGCACCGGCUAACUACGUGCCAGCAGCCGCGGUAAUACGUAGGGUGCGAGCGUUAUCCGGCCAGCAGCCGCGGUAAUAGCUCGUAGGCGGUUUGUCGCGUCUGUCGUGAAAGUCCGGGGCUUAACCCCGGAUCUGCGGUGGGUACGGGCAGACUAGAGUGCAGUAGGGGAGACUGGAAUUCCUGGUGUAGCGGUGGAAUGCGCAGAUAUCAGGAGGAACACCGAUGGCGAAGGCAGGUCUCUGGGCUGUAACUGACGCUGAGGAGCGAAAGCAUGGGGAGCGAACAGGAUUAGAUACCCUGGUAGUCCAUGCCGUAAACGUUGGGCACUAGGUGUGGGGACCAUUCCACGGUUUCCGCGCCGCAGCUAACGCAUUAAGUGCCCCGCCUGGGGAGUACGGCCGCAAGGCUAAAACUCAAAGGAAUUGCACGGGGGCCCGCACUAUUUACGCRGCGGRRAACUGCWAGAUKAAUUCGAYGSGAACGCGAAGAACCUUACCAAGGCUUGACAUGUUCUCGAUCGCCGUAGAGAUACGGUUUCCCCUUUGGGGCGGGAUCACAGGUGGUGCAUGGUUGUCGUCAGCUCGUGUCGUGAGAUGUUGGGUUAAGUCCCGCAACGAGCGCAACCCUCGUUCCAUGUUGCCAGCACGUAAUGGUGGGGACUCAUGGGAGACUGCCGGGGUCAACUCGGAGGAAGGUGGGGACGACGUCAAAUCAUCAUGCCCCUUAUGUCUUGGGCUUCACGCAUGCUACAAUGGCCGGUACAAUGGGUUGCGAUACUGUGAGGUGGAGCUAAUCCCAAAAAGCCGGUCUCAGUUCGGAUUGGGGUCUGCAACUCGACCCCAUGAAGUCGGAGUCGCUAGUAAUCGCAGAUCAGCAACGCUGCGGUGAAUACGUUCCCGGGCCUUGUACACACCGCCCGUCAAGUCACGAAAGUCGGUAACACCCGAAGCCGGUGGCCUAACCCUUGUGGGGGGAGCCGUCGAAGGUGGGACCAGC